Lactuca sativa (garden lettuce) is the source of this 443-nucleotide non-coding RNA. NCBI's taxonomy places the organism in Eukaryota, Viridiplantae, Streptophyta, Magnoliopsida, Asterales, Asteraceae. The record is from RefSeq and is a predicted model, not a curated record.
UGAAAUAAAGGGGAAUAAGAAUUGAAGUGUUGAAUCAACCCCUAAUUCCUCCAUCUUACACCAUCGCUGCAACCUUUUGACUAACGCUCACCUUCCUCUCUGGUUACAAACCAAUGGAGAAACUAUCUCCCACCGCUACUCUUUCUCUUCUCUAAGAAUGAUCGACCUCUCCCCUUCCAUUCAUCUUCUCUUUUCCAACAAGAAAAGUUUAUGCUUGAAGAAGUUGAUCCUUGAAGAACGGACAACAAAAUUGAAAGUGUAUCUUAGCAACAUUAUUCUUUUAGCAUGAAUUAAUGUAUUUGUUAGAUUUUGAUGUUUUUUCUGAUUUAAAAGUUUUUUAGUUUUAUUAUUUAACAAUAAAUGUAAUUCUUAGCAAUUGUUACAUGUAUUCUAUAAGAAUUAAUGUAAUUUUUGUUUUAAUUCUUCAAUUGAUGGUUCAAUAA